CCUACGGGGGGCAGCAGUCGAGAAUCAUUCACAAUGGGGGAAACCCUGAUGGUGCGACGCCGCGUGGGGGAAUGAAGGUCUUCGGAUUGUAAACCCCUGUCAUGUGGGAGCAAAUUAAAAAGAUAGUACCACAAGAGGAAGAGACGGCUAACUCUGUGCCAGCAGCCGCGGUAAUACAGAGGUCUCAAGCUGUGUUCGGAAUCACUGGGCGUAACGCGUGCGUAGGCUGUUUCGUAAGUCGUGUGUGAAAGGCGCGGGCUCAACCCGCGGACGGCACAUGAUACUGCGAGACUAGAGUAAUGGAGGGGUAACCGGAAGUCUCGGUGUAGCAGUGAAAUGCGUAGAUAUCGAGAGGAACACUCGUGGCGAAGGCGGGUUCCUGGACAUUAACUGACGCUGAGGCACGAAGGCCAGGGGAGCGAAAGGGAUUAGAUACCCCUGUAGUC
This 446-nucleotide ribosomal RNA is filed under the name uncultured bacterium. Its description in RNAcentral is "partial 16S ribosomal RNA". It matches the Rfam family "Bacterial small subunit ribosomal RNA", at positions 338 to 795 of the family's 1533-position model. The record is from RNAcentral.